GACGAACGCUGGCGGCGUGCCUAAUACAUGCAAGUCGAACGCAGUGGGGACGGGUGAGUAACACGUGGGUAACCUCCCAUCAGAGGGGAUAACACUUGGAAACAGGUGCUAAACCGAUACUGAUGGAUGGACCCGCGGUGCAUUAGCUAGUUGGGGAGGUAACGGCUCAACAAGGCCACGAUGCAUAGCUGAGCUGAGAGGGUGAUCAUCCAAACUGGGACUUAGAAAGGGCCCAGACGCCGACGGGAGGCAGCAGUGGGGAAUCUGCGGCAAUGGCCGAAAGUCUGACCGAGCAACGCCGCGUGAGUGAAGAAGGUUUUCGGAUCGUAAAACUCUGUUGUUAGAGAAGCGGUAUCUAACCAGAAAGCCACGGCUAACUACGUGCCAGCAGCCGCGGUAAUUC
RNAcentral lists this ribosomal RNA (403 nucleotides) under uncultured bacterium. RNAcentral describes it as "partial 16S ribosomal RNA". It matches the Rfam family "Bacterial small subunit ribosomal RNA", at positions 28 to 526 of the family's 1533-position model. The record is from RNAcentral.